UUCUAUUUUGCAUAGUUUUCUAAUUUAAUACAUAAAUUUUCAUUACAAAUUAUAUUAUUGACAACAAUUGAGUGAAAAGUAGAAUCUUUGAAAUAUUCACAUGAAUUUCAGAGUUUCUUAGAAUUUCUAAUGUCCUCUUUUUGCUUUGUGUGCACUUGAGCUGGCAUGGACUCUACAUGUUUGUGCAAAGCAUUAUGAUACAUUUUAGAUCAACUCCAUCGGCAUGUUGUCUGAACGCAAGCUUCAAUAGAAGAGAUCAGACAUGAGGAGAAUCUGACCUUUUGUACAAAGCAGUAAACAUGAGACGCAGGAGAGCCUGGAGUUUAUACCAAGGAACUCGGGGCAAGGGAACAAUCUGGAAAUGCAACAUGUCUUUGGACUGGGUGGAGGAAACCGGAGUACCCGGAGUAAACACCCUGAAGCAUGGGGAGAACAUGCACACUCCAUGCAUGCAGGUUAGAUGUAGGAAUCGUACCCCCAACCCCAGAGUGUGAGGCAAACAUGCUACCCACUAAGCCACUGUUCCCACAAAAAACUCAUUUAUCUUAAGGAAAAAUAAUAGGAGAUAUUUUAAAGUGAUGGCAAUUAUUAUGAAUGACAGACCAGAAAUGUUGAAGAAACCUGAUUGGACAUUUAACCU
This is a long non-coding RNA of Ictalurus punctatus (channel catfish), 640 nucleotides long. The record is from Ensembl. NCBI's taxonomy places the organism in Eukaryota, Metazoa, Chordata, Actinopteri, Siluriformes, Ictaluridae.